GACCCCAGGUCAGGCGGGACUACCCGCUGAGUUUAAGCAUAUCAUA
This 46-nucleotide ribosomal RNA is filed under the name Artemisia sp. haplotype-II (ZK-1016). RNAcentral's name for it is "partial 26S ribosomal RNA". Lineage: Eukaryota; Viridiplantae; Streptophyta; Magnoliopsida; Asterales; Asteraceae. The record is from RNAcentral.